GAUGAACGCUGGCGGCGUGCCUAAUACAUGCAAGUCGAGCGAACAGAUGAGGAGCUUGCUCCUCUGACGUUAGCGGCGGACGGGUGAGUAACACGUGGAUAACCUACCUAUAAGACUGGGAUAACUUCGGGAAACCGGAGCUAAUACCGGAUAAUAUAUUGAACCGCAUGGUUCAAUAGUGAAAGACGGUUUUGCUGUCACUUAUAGAUGGAUCCGCGCCGCAUUAGCUAGUUGGUAAGGUAACGGCUUACCAAGGCAACGAUGCGUAGCCGACCGGAGAGGGUGAUCGGCCACACUGGAACUGAGACACGGUCCAGACUCCUACGGGAGGCAGCAGUAGGGAAUCUUCCGCAAUGGGCGAAAGCCUGACGGAGCAACGCCGCGUGAGUGAUGAAGGUCUUCGGAUCGUAAAACUCUGUUAUUAGGGAAGAACAAAUGUGUAAGUAACUAUGCACGUCUUGACGGUACCUAAUCAGAAAGCCACGGCUAACUACGUG
RNAcentral lists this ribosomal RNA (497 nucleotides) under uncultured bacterium. RNAcentral describes it as "partial 16S ribosomal RNA". It matches the Rfam family "Bacterial small subunit ribosomal RNA", at positions 28 to 507 of the family's 1533-position model. The record is from RNAcentral.